Molecule: long non-coding RNA, 118 nt
Organism: Austrofundulus limnaeus
Lineage: Eukaryota; Metazoa; Chordata; Actinopteri; Cyprinodontiformes; Rivulidae
Exons: 3
Source: RefSeq, a predicted model, not a curated record
GUUUAGGAUUUGGAGGAAAAAAAUACGAAGGUCUCUGCUUUCAGCUGACAUGUUUGUGUGUGAAGAAGUCACGGGGUGAACAGCUGAGACCGGAUUUUGCAGAGGAUGAAAAUAGAGA